This is a long non-coding RNA of Talpa occidentalis (Iberian mole), 314 nucleotides long. RefSeq lists it as uncharacterized. NCBI's taxonomy places the organism in Eukaryota, Metazoa, Chordata, Mammalia, Eulipotyphla, Talpidae. The record is from RefSeq and is a predicted model, not a curated record. The transcript is spliced from 3 exons.
GCCAAGGCCACCACGGAGAGAUGAGGAAACUGAGGCUCAGCUCUGUGAGCUGACUUGCUGGACAGCAGGGAAGUGGCUGGUGUGGCCCCAAUCCACUGCCUGGCCAGGGAGGCUCUUGACUAUGGACUUCAGCCCCCCAACACCUGUGAUCGCAUCUCUGGCAGCGCAGGGGCCGGGGACACGCUUCUCCCUGGCUCUCCAUUCCCGUGAAAAACACAUCUGAUGCCAAAUCCUCCAGGGAGAGGCCCCGAAUAAACACGCCCACCGGGAGGAAUCCCCCUUCCUGCUGCUCCCUCAUCCUGCUCCCAAAGCAG